UGGGGAAUAUUGGACAAUGGGCGAAAGCCUGAUCCAGCCAUGCCGCGUGUGUGAAGAAGGUCUUCGGAUUGUAAAGCACUUUAAGUUGGGACGAAGGGCAGUAAGCGAAUACCUUGCUGUUUUGACGUUACCGACAGAAUAAGCACCGGCUAACUCUGUGCCAGCAGCCGCGGUAAUACAGAGGGUGCAAGCGUUAAUCGGAAUUACUGGGCGUAAAGCGCGCGUAGGUGGUUCGUUAAGUUGAAUGUGAAAGCCCCGGGCUCAACCUGGGAACUGCAUCCAAAACUGGCGAGCUAGAGUAGGGCAGAGGGUGGUGGAAUUUCCUGUGUAGCGGUGAAAUGCGUAGAUAUAGGAAGGAACACCAGUGGCGAAGGCGACCACCUGGGCUCAUACUGACACUGAGGUGCGAAAGCGUGGGGAGCAAACAGG
Molecule: ribosomal RNA, 429 nt
Filed under: Pseudomonadota bacterium
Lineage: Bacteria; Pseudomonadati; Pseudomonadota
Description: Proteobacteria bacterium partial 16S ribosomal RNA
Rfam family: Bacterial small subunit ribosomal RNA
Source: RNAcentral